This 66-nucleotide transfer RNA is filed under the name Cephalopachus bancanus (Horsfield's tarsier). Its description in RNAcentral is "tRNA-Tyr". It matches the Rfam family "tRNA". Rfam says of the family: Transfer RNA (tRNA) molecules are approximately 80 nucleotides in length. Their secondary structure includes four short double-helical elements and three loops (D, anti-codon, and T loops). Further hydrogen bonds mediate the characteristic L-shaped molecular structure. tRNAs have two regions of fundamental functional importance: the anti-codon, which is responsible for specific mRNA codon recognition, and the 3' end, to which the tRNAs corresponding amino acid is attached (by aminoacyl-tRNA synthetases). tRNAs cope with the degeneracy of the genetic code in two manners: having more than one tRNA (with a specific anti-codon) for a particular amino acid; and 'wobble' base-pairing, i.e. permitting non-standard base-pairing at the 3rd anti-codon position. The record is from RNAcentral. Lineage: Eukaryota; Metazoa; Chordata; Mammalia; Primates; Tarsiidae.
GGUAAAAUGGCUGAAAGAGCAUUAGGCUGUAAAUCUAAAAAUAGGGGUGUAGUCCCCUUUUUACCA